CCCACACGCCCCCACACCUUGGGCAUCCCACUUCUCCUCCAUGCCAAGUGCACUUGGGCGUCCACCUUGUGCUGGUUUUCACCUACUGGUAGCAGCAUAAUUCAAGGAGAGAAAGGCAAGAGAAGAAGAAGAUCAAGGAAGGAGAUCAAGUGUUGAUCACAAUUCAGACUUCAUUCAAAUUCAGUAGGCUAAAUUUUUUUAGAGAAGAAAAUUCAACUUGAAGAGAAUUAUUCUAAGCUGAUCCCAAGUAGAUACCCAUAAA
RNAcentral lists this long non-coding RNA (262 nucleotides) under Elaeis guineensis (African oil palm). Its description in RNAcentral is "long non-coding RNA (EGUI_LNC024649)". The record is from RNAcentral. Lineage: Eukaryota; Viridiplantae; Streptophyta; Magnoliopsida; Arecales; Arecaceae.